UGUGGCUUCGGGUCCUCCUUGUUGGCUUUUUGAGUUGUUCGUGAAUGAGAGCAGGUUUUUGUAAUCUUGAUUGUCUUGGGGUUGAAGUUUGGAGAGAUCAAGAUUUCUAGUUGUUUUGGGAUGGGGUUUGUUGGUGCUGUAGUUCGAUGUUGUAUCGUUCCCUCCCUUUGAGAGGGUCCAUAUCUGUAACUUUUUAUAUAUAAUCAAAACCAGUGUUAAAAAAAAAAAAUUACACUUGUACAUAUUUUCCCAUUGUCUAUUUACAUUUGUUUUUAAUUGCAUGGUGGUUAGGCAUAUGCUAUCGAACAUUAAUCAUGGAUACAACUUCUAAAUUUGCAGCAAGGGCAGCAGAUGUAGAAAUUUUUUAGGAUUAGGAGCAAAAAAACAUUUUAUUACAAAUAUGAGACUUUUGCAUUAUAAAAUUAAGUUAUUAGGUCUAAAUGUCUAAUUUAUUUGUAAAA
RNAcentral lists this long non-coding RNA (461 nucleotides) under Brassica napus (rape). RNAcentral's name for it is "long non-coding RNA (BNAP_LNC015807)". Lineage: Eukaryota; Viridiplantae; Streptophyta; Magnoliopsida; Brassicales; Brassicaceae. The record is from RNAcentral.